RNAcentral lists this ribosomal RNA (751 nucleotides) under uncultured Glomeromycotina. Its description in RNAcentral is "bacterial SSU rRNA". It matches the Rfam family "Eukaryotic small subunit ribosomal RNA", at positions 338 to 1092 of the family's 1831-position model. The record is from RNAcentral. Lineage: Eukaryota; Fungi; Glomeromycota.
GGCCUACCAUGGUUUCAACGGGUAACGGGGAAUAAGGGUUCGAUUCCGGAGAGGGAGCCUGAGAAACGGCUACCACAUCCAAGGAAGGCAGCAGGCGCGCAAAUUACCCAAUCCCGACACGGGGAGGUAGUGACAAUAAAUAACAAUAUAGGGCUCUUUUGGGUCUUAUAAUUGGAAUGAGUACAAUUUAAAUCCCUUAACGAGGAACAAUUGGAGGGCAAGUCUGGUGCCAGCAGCCGCGGUAAUUCCAGCUCCAAUAGCGUAUAUUAAAGUUGUUGCAGUUAAAAAGCUCGUAGUUGAACUUCAGGCCUGGGCGGGCGGUCUGCCUCACGGUAUGUACUGUCUGCCUGGGUCUUACUUCUUGGUGAGCCGGCAUGCCCUUUACUGGGUGUGUCGGGGAACCAGGACUUUUACUUUGAAAAAAUUAGAGUGUUUAAAGCAGGCUUACGCUUGAAUACAUUAGCAUGGAAUAAUAAAAUAGGACUUUGGUUUUAUUUUGUUGGUUUUCGAGACCGAAGUAAUGAUUAAUAGGGACAGUUGGGGGCAUUAGUAUUUGAUCGUCAGAGGUGAAAUUCUUGGAUUGAUCAAAGACUAACUUCUGCGAAAGCAUUUGCCAAGGAUGUUUUCAUUAAUCAAGAACGAAAGUUAGGGGAUCGAAGACGAUCAGAUACCGUCGUAGUCUUAACCAUAAACUAUGCCGACUAGGGAUCGGAUGAUGUUGAUUUUUUAAUGACUCAUUCGGCACCUUACG